AACCCAUGUUGAGGACAUUUCCGUAGGAGCUUUUUGAACCUAUCCCAUGUCUCAAAAAGAGACUCUUAUUCUAUUUGCACGAAAGCGGAUUUUUCAUUCCUAAGCUU
Molecule: small nucleolar RNA, 107 nt
Organism: Dioscorea cayenensis subsp. rotundata (Guinea yam)
Lineage: Eukaryota; Viridiplantae; Streptophyta; Magnoliopsida; Dioscoreales; Dioscoreaceae
Source: RefSeq, a predicted model, not a curated record